CUCGGCCUCUCAUAAGGUGGAACUAUAGUAUCCACCCUAGCCUACUGGCACAGAUAAGUAAUCAGGGAUGGAUGUCCUAGCGAUGUCCUGCUACUAACAGUAGUAGCGCAGACCUGAAUCUCGUUGGCGAUGAUCUCACCAACGUUAACAUCCAUCUGCCUCUACAUGCAGUAUAUGAAGAGAAUCUGAUGCAUGGUAAUGUCGGAGACAUGGGAGCACGGCUGUAUGUUGGCAUGAGUGAAUGCCACCUUGUACUUUACCAGG
Molecule: long non-coding RNA, 264 nt
Filed under: Vigna radiata
Lineage: Eukaryota; Viridiplantae; Streptophyta; Magnoliopsida; Fabales; Fabaceae
Description: long non-coding RNA (VRAD_LNC017129)
Source: RNAcentral